RNAcentral lists this long non-coding RNA (200 nucleotides) under Phoenix dactylifera (date palm). Its description in RNAcentral is "long non-coding RNA (PDAC_LNC018435)". Lineage: Eukaryota; Viridiplantae; Streptophyta; Magnoliopsida; Arecales; Arecaceae. The record is from RNAcentral.
AGGUGGCUCCGCACGUGCCUCACGUUGUGGAGACACGGUAGAUGGCUCCGUAGGUUGCCUUUCCUCACGUUGGAUCCGUGUGAUUCUUCCGGAUCUCUUGGCUACGGCUCUUUUGGGUCCCAUUUCUCCAAGAUCUUAAGGUAAUCUACUGUUUGGAGGAGUUUGGAGGAGUUUGGAGAGUGGGGAUUAGAGUAUUCAGA